This 426-nucleotide ribosomal RNA is filed under the name uncultured bacterium. RNAcentral's name for it is "partial 16S ribosomal RNA". It matches the Rfam family "Bacterial small subunit ribosomal RNA", at positions 354 to 796 of the family's 1533-position model. The record is from RNAcentral.
GUGGGGAAUAUUGGACAAUGGGCGCAAGCCUGAUCCAGCCAUGCCGCGUGAGUGAUGAAGGCCCUAGGGUUGUAAAGCUCUUUCACCGGAGAAGAUAAUGACGGUAUCCGGAGAAGAAGCCCCGGCUAACUUCGUGCCAGCAGCCGCGGUAAUACGAAGGGGGCUAGCGUUGUUCGGAAUUACUGGGCGUAAAGCGCACGUAGGCGGACAUUUAAGUCAGGGGUGAAAUCCCGGGGCUCAACCCCGGAACUGCCUUUGAUACUGGGUGUCUGGAGUAUGGAAGAGGUAAGUGGAAUUCCGAGUGUAGAGGUGAAAUUCGUAGAUAUCCGGAGGAACACCAGUGGCGAAGGCGGCUUCCUGGACAGUAACUGACGCUGAGACGCGAAAGCGUGGGGAGCAAACAGGAUUAGAAACCCCGGGUAGUCC